GUGAACGCUGGCGGUAGGCCUAACACAUGCAAGUCGAACGGCAGCACAGUAAGAGCUUGCUCUUACGGGUGGCGAGUGGCGGACGGGUGAGGAAUACAUCGGAAUCUACUUUUUCGUGGGGGAUAACGUAGGGAAACUUACGCUAAUACCGCAUACGACCUACGGGUGAAAGCAGGGGAUCUUCGGACCUUGCGCGAUUGAAUGAGCCGAUGUCGGAUUAGCUAGUUGGCGGGGUAAAGGCCCACCAAGGCGACGAUCCGUAGCUGGUCUGAGAGGAUGAUCAGCCACACUGGAACUGAGACACGGUCCAGACUCCUACGGGAGGCAGCAGUGGGGAAUAUUGGACAAUGGGCGCAAGCCUGAUCCAGCCAUACCGCGUGGGUGAAGAAGGCCUUCGGGUUGCAAAGCCCUUUUGUUGGGAAAGAAAAGCAGCAGGUUAAUACCCCGCUGUUCUGACGGUACCCAAAGAAUAAGCACCGGCUAACUUCGUG
This 491-nucleotide ribosomal RNA is filed under the name uncultured bacterium. Its description in RNAcentral is "partial 16S ribosomal RNA". It matches the Rfam family "Bacterial small subunit ribosomal RNA", at positions 29 to 507 of the family's 1533-position model. The record is from RNAcentral.